GUCAUUUACUUGGAAUGCACCCUAUUGUAAAUGGAGAGGACAUUACUUGGUUUGUGUGAUCUAGUUCUAGGAAGUCAGCGUGCAUCGGCCUUAUGUUCCCUACCUCCAAGCCCUAUUCUCCUGCCUCAGUAGCACUGCAACCUAGAGAGCAUUUGCCUGUUUGACUGUUAAGGCUUCCAUGUUCGGGAUGUGUGGGAACUUGCCCUGGAAAAACAAAGGCCCACCUUAGGAGAAGAACACAGGCCAGAGACACCCUGCUUCUGAGCUACCCUCAACCAGCCACCUCUGGAAGCACUGGCAACUCAUCCCCAGGGGCUGUUGCCCAGCAACUGGGUUUGGCACACCAAGUGAAAUCCACUAGAUGCUGGCUCAGCUGACCUAUCCACUCCAUUUUCUGUCAUUUCCCUCAGCACUACCUGUACUCCAGCCACAGAGAACUAUGCAAUCAUCUCUGAACAUAGUUCAGCUGUCUGCUUAUUUUCCCUACAGAGCACCCUUCCCCUGUGUCUGCCAGGAAUACCCCUCUUACCCAGCAAGGUCCUACUAGAACAUUUACUCCUCACUGACGCUCUUACCCGCAAAAUAUAUGGACCCACCUAUGAUUUCCUCAUGAUGGUCAGCACAUAUCUCUGUGCUGGCCAAAAUGUUGGCAGUGCCAAAAUGUUUGGCACUGGCCAAAAUGUUACUUUUUAUCUGAUUGUGUAGCUUUUUCCCCAUUUAAAUGUGAAUCCAGACCCUAUCCCCUUGGUAUCCUGAAAAUCAGGUGGAUCAUGAUCCUCUAGUUGACUGGGAUUGGCUUUCAAGUGGAUAGAUUUAGGUUUAUCCAAGUGCUAAUGGAUGGCAGGUUGCAAAGAGGUCAUAGGGGGAGCAUUUGGAAGAUUGGGGCAGAGGUUUCAAACACUUUUUUUUAACAAUUAUUUUGACCUGUCUGCACGCUGGUUUUAUUUACCAGUUAUGUAUACUUUACUCCACUGAAGAAAGAACUUUUGUCUGUUCACUAUGGAUGGAGAGCAAAGAUUUGAUUCAGCUGAACAACAGCCCCCAGUAUUUGCACAUAUACAAUCUCCUGAGAAGAGAUUCAGGAACUGUCUUCCAUAUUUAGAAACAGCUCAAAGGUUCAAUUGAUCUUGGAUGCCCAGUGGGCUCCAGGAUAAAUAAAAACUUUUGAUUCCCCUAGGGCUUUCUGGUUUCCAUUUUUAUCCCUUAGUGUUUGACUAAACACCACAUGAAAAUGAAAAACCUAUAUCAACUUUCCUAAUUGAAGCUGUGUCUGAUUAUGGAAACACUUAAAACAUAAAAAUGGGUUGCACAUGGCUUGCUCCUGGCACUGAGUUCAGGAACUACUUCCUGCUGUCAAUCCAAUGAAUUCAACACUGCACUAUGGAUGGUAACAAUAUUCAUCUUCAACUGACAAUACUUCACAAUAUUCAGUUUAAAAUCAUUUUCCUGGCUAGGUCACUUUAACUUUGUAAGUAAACACUGCCAAAAUUCCCACAGUCUAGCUAAGACUUUGAGUUUAUAUAUAAACUGAAUUUAUACAAGAGGCUGAAGGAUAUGGUCACAGACUCUUUUUUCUACUAGCAGAAGGAAGUUGGCUUCAGCCUGAAGCUUUCUCAAUAAUUAGAACUAUAGGACUAUCAUGUCCUAUUUUCUACAAUUUUCAAGUAAGGAAACCUAAAAUCUAAAAACAAAACAAAACACAAGCAUAAUAAGGCUGGGUUAGGCCAUACCUGUACUUUGUACUCAUAUCCAGACCAUACUUCAUUUGGAGGGUCAUGGGAAGCUGUUUUUGUUCAUAUUGAUAUUCUACUGGAAAUUAAAAUUUUAUGAAAAUUACAGUUCAAGGUAUUGACUCUGAUAAGGCUAAUGAAGAUAAUCAGAAAAUAUCAACUUUAGAACCCUAAAUGGCUUAGUUAAUCUUAAAUUACCCGUAAGAGGUAAGGGAAGGUAUUUCAGCCACAAUGGGGAUCUGUGGAAUCAUGCUUUCUAUGCAUGUCAGUCGGCUAAUACUAUUGAAAGUCUUCCCAGUACCGGGGAAACACUUCUCCUGCCUUUGCAUCCUGGGCCAGCAUCUCCCUGGUCUCAGCCUGUGAAGAGCAGAGGCAAAAUGUGUGCUCCAUAAUACAGAGAAUAAGCCCUUUAGAAGCACCCAAAUGGGUUUCAAAUCUCAGCUCUGCUGCUUACUAGAAUUUUGCAUCUGGAAUUUGCAUCUUCUUUUUUUAAAAUAUAUGAAAAUACAUUUUAUUAUUAUUUCAGUGUAUAAUAUAUUAGUGAAUACACCAGAUUGCAUUUUCUCAAAUGGCCCAUAAAUUACACGAUAACAUUUCUCUUUGAUUCCUGAGAUCUUCAAUAUUAUUUGUCUUUCAGAACAUCUACAUUCUUACCAUGACUGUGAAACUGAUACUGCCCACAAGGAUACCAGUACUGAGUGAUAAAGAACAUUUUGCUUGUUCUAUCGUGGUCCUUGCUUAAGGGGAUUGUUGGACGGAUGUUGUGGGAACUGAACUUGAAGAAGGAAGAGCCCAUCAUUUGGACACAUCUUAGGGCUUCCCAGCUGCACCAGGUUAUGGACAAGGCACCUGGAACCCCAACCCUUCCAGUCACUAACCACAUGGCCUGAGAUGUCAUUUCAUGCAGCUGGGCUCUUUGUGCUCAUCAGCAAGUGAUGUAAAUAAAGCAUGUGAGGUUAGCACACCGUACAUUCUCAAAUCCUGGAGCUACUGGUCCUCUUGUGACUAUUAUUAAUAUUAUAAUGAACUUUUGAAAAAAUGA
Long non-coding RNA from Pan troglodytes (chimpanzee), 2772 nucleotides. RefSeq lists it as uncharacterized. The transcript has 4 exons. The record is from RefSeq and is a predicted model, not a curated record. Lineage: Eukaryota; Metazoa; Chordata; Mammalia; Primates; Hominidae.